RNAcentral lists this ribosomal RNA (253 nucleotides) under uncultured bacterium. RNAcentral describes it as "partial 16S ribosomal RNA". It matches the Rfam family "Bacterial small subunit ribosomal RNA", at positions 524 to 776 of the family's 1533-position model. The record is from RNAcentral.
GACAGAGGGCGCAAGCGUUGUCCGGAAUUAUUGGGCGUAAAGAGCUCGUAGGCGGCUUGUCACGUCGAUUGUGAAAGCCCGAGGCUUAACCUCGGGUCUGCAGUCGAUACGGGCUAGCUAGAGUGUGGUAGGGGAGAUCGGAAUUCCUGGUGUAGCGGUGAAAUGCGCAGAUAUCAGGAGGAACACCGGUGGCGAAGGCGGAUCUCUGGGCCAUUACUGACGCUGAGGAGCGAAAGCGUGGGGAGCGAACAGG